CACGAAGCUGGAAUCGCUAGUAAUCGCGAAUCAGAAUGUCGCGGUGAAUACGUUCCCGGGUCUUGUACACACCGCCCGUCACACCAUGGGAGUUGAGAGCACCCGAAGUCAGUGAGGGAACCGAAAGGGCCCAGCUGCCGAAGGUGAGAUCGAUGACUGGGGUGAAGUCGUAACAAGGUAUC
RNAcentral lists this ribosomal RNA (182 nucleotides) under uncultured bacterium. Its description in RNAcentral is "partial 16S ribosomal RNA". It matches the Rfam family "Bacterial small subunit ribosomal RNA", at positions 1319 to 1500 of the family's 1533-position model. The record is from RNAcentral.